CUGUGAAGACCAUGGGAAGUGACCACAUCAUGAGGAGGUUGCUGAUGGGGGAUGAGGAAGCCUUAGAGAAAAGGUCGCCUGCCGUUGCUUGUCCCUGGGCCAGCCAUGCGCCUCAGACUUCUCUGCUGUGUGGCCCUUUUUCUCUGGGGAGCAGGCUCCAUGGACACCGAGGUCACCCAGAGUCCUGGACAUCUGGUCAAAGGAAAAGAACAGAAAGCAAAGAUGGAUUGUGUCCCCAUAAAAACACAUACUCAUGUUUAUUGGUAUCGUCAGAAGCUGGAAGGAGAGUUUGAGUUUUUGGUUUACUUACAGAAUAAAAAUAUUAUUGAUAAAUCAAAAGUACUCGAUCAGCAAUUCUUAGCUCAAUGCCCCCAAAACUCAGCCUGCAGCCUGCAAAUCAACUCCACUGAGCUAGAGGACUCAGCACUGUAUUUCUGUGCCAGCAGCCAAUCCACAGUGCUGAAUGUGAGCUUUUCUUAGAACACGAACUCAUCCCUCACUCGUCUCAGGAAAUAAGUGGUGUGUUAGGUGCAUAGGAACUAACAGAAACCCAACUUGAAAGAGCAUAAACCAGAAGGAAACAUGUGUACAUGGCAACUCUAGGUGAGCAGAAAGGAAUGU
This is a non-coding RNA of Ceratotherium simum simum (southern white rhinoceros), 621 nucleotides long. Lineage: Eukaryota; Metazoa; Chordata; Mammalia; Perissodactyla; Rhinocerotidae. The record is from the annotation of a RefSeq genome assembly.